RNAcentral lists this ribosomal RNA (301 nucleotides) under uncultured bacterium. RNAcentral's name for it is "partial 16S ribosomal RNA". It matches the Rfam family "Bacterial small subunit ribosomal RNA", at positions 509 to 807 of the family's 1533-position model. The record is from RNAcentral.
CAGCCGCCGCGGUAAUACGUAGGGUGCGAGCGUUAAUCGGAAUUACUGGGCGUAAAGCGUGCGCAGGCGGUUCGUUAAGACAGAUGUGAAAUCCCCGGGCUUAACCUGGGAACUGCAUUUGUGACUGGCGAGCUAGAGUAUGGCAGAGGGGGGUGGAAUUCUGCGUGUAGCAGUGAAAUGCGUAGAUAUGCGGAGGAACACCGAUGGCGAAGGCAGCCCCCUGGGCCAAUACUGACGCUCAUGCACGAAAGCGUGGGGAGCAAACAGGAUUAGAUACCCCCGUAGUCCCUGUCUCUUAUAC